CUAAAUACUCCUGACUGACCGAUAGUGAACCAGUACCGUGAGGGAAAGGCGAAAAGAACCCCGGCGAGGGGAGUGAAAAAGAACCUGAAACCGUGUACGUACAAGCAGUGGGAGCCUCUUAAUGGGGUGACUGCGUACCUUUUGUAUAAUGGGUCAGCGACUUAUAUUCUGUAGCAAGGUUAACCGAAUAGGGGAGCCGAAGGGAAACCGAGUCUUAACUGGGCGUUAAGUUGCAGGGUAUAGACCCGAAACCCGGUGAUCUAGCCAUGGGCAGGUUGAAGGUUGGGUAACACUAACUGGAGGACCGAACCGACUAAUGUUGAAAAAUUAGCGGAUGACUUGUGGCUGGGGGUGAAAGGCCAAUCAAACCGGGAGAUAGCUGGUUCUCCCCGAAAGCUAUUUAGGUAGCGCCUCGUGAAUUCAUCUCCGGGGGUAGAGCACUGUUUCGGCAAGGGGGUCAUCCCGACUUACCAACCCGAUGCAAACUGCGAAUACCGGAGAAUGUUAUCACGGGAGACACACGGCGGGUGCUAACGUCCGUCGUGAAGAGGGAAACAACCCAGACCGCCAGCUAAGGUCCCAAAGUCAUGGUUAAGUGGGAAACGAUGUGGGAAGGCCCAGACAGCCAGGAUGUUGGCUUAGAAGCAGCCAUCAUUUAAAGAAAGCGUAAUAGCUCACUGGUCGAGUCGGCCUGCGCGGAAGAUGUAACGGGGCUAAACCAUGCACCGAAGCUGCGGCAGCGACACUAUGUGUUGUUGGGUAGGGGAGCGUUCUGUAAGCCUGUGAAGGUGGCCUGUGAGGGUUGCUGGAGGUAUCAGAAGUGCGAAUGCUGACAUAAGUAACGAUAAAGCGGGUGAAAAGCCCGCUCGCCGGAAGACCAAGGGUUCCUGUCCAACGUUAAUCGGGGCAGGGUGAGUCGACCCCUAAGGCGAGGCCGAAAGGCGUAGUCGAUGGGAAACAGGUUAAUAUUCCUGUACUUGGUGUUACUGCGAAGGGGGGACGGAGAAGGCUAUGUUGGCCGGGCGACGGUUGUCCCGGUUUAAGCGUGUAGGCUGGUUUUCCAGGCAAAUCCGGAAAACCAAGGCUGAGGCGUGAUGACGAGGCACUACGGUGCUGAAGCGACAAAUGCCCUGCUUCCAGGAAAAGCCUCUAAGCAUCAGGUAACAUCAAAUCGUACCCAAAACCGACACAGGUGGUCAGGUAGAGAAUACCAAGGCGCUUGAGAGAACUCGGGUGAAGGAACUAGGCAAAAUGGUGCCGUAACUUCGGGAGAAGGCACGCUGAUAUGUAGGUGAAGCGACUUGCUCGUGGAGCUGAAAUCAGUCGAAGAUACCAGCUGGCUGCAACUGUUUAUUAAAAACACAGCACUGUGCAAACACGAAAGUGGACGUAUACGGUGUGACGCCUGCCCGGUGCCGGAAGGUUAAUUGAUGGGGUUAGCGGUAACGCGAAGCUCUUGAUCGAAGCCCCGGUAAACGGCGGCCGUAACUAUAACGGUCCUAAGGUAGCGAAAUUCCUUGUCGGGUAAGUUCCGACCUGCACGAAUGGCGUAAUGAUGGCCAGGCUGUCUCCACCCGAGACUCAGUGAAAUUGAACUCGCUGUGAAGAUGCAGUGUACCCGCGGCAAGACGGAAAGACCCCGUGAACCUUUACUAUAGCUUGACACUGAACAUUGAGCCUUGAUGUGUAGGAUAGGUGGGAGGCUUUGAAGUGUGGACGCCAGUCUGCAUGGAGCCGACCUUGAAAUACCACCCUUUAAUGUUUGAUGUUCUAACGUUGGCCCGUAAUCCGGGUUGCGGACAGUGUCUGGUGGGUAGUUUGACUGGGGCGGUCUCCUCCUAAAGAGUAACGGAGGAGCACGAAGGUUGGCUAAUCCUGGUCGGACAUCAGGAGGUUAGUGCAAUGGCAUAAGCCAGCUUGACUGCGAGCGUGACGGCGCGAGCAGGUGCGAAAGCAGGUCAUAGUGAUCCGGUGGUUCUGAAUGGAAGGGCCAUCGCUCAACGGAUAAAAGGUACUCCGGGGAUAACAGGCUGAUACCGCCCAAGAGUUCAUAUCGACGGCGGUGUUUGGCACCUCGAUGUCGGCUCAUCACAUCCUGGGGCUGAAGUAGGUCCCAAGGGUAUGGCUGUUCGCCAUUUAAAGUGGUACGCGAGCUGGGUUUAGAACGUCGUGAGACAGUUCGGUCCCUAUCUGCCGUGGGCGCUGGAGAACUGAGGGGGGCUGCUCCUAGUACGAGAGGACCGGAGUGGACGCAUCACUGGUGUUCGGGUUGUCAUGCCAAUGGCACUGCCCGGUAGCUAAAUGCGGAAGAGAUAAGUGCUGAAAGCAUCUAAGCACGAAACUUGCCCCGAGAUG
This 2355-nucleotide ribosomal RNA is filed under the name Escherichia coli. Its description in RNAcentral is "partial 23S ribosomal RNA". It matches the Rfam family "Bacterial large subunit ribosomal RNA", at positions 466 to 2806 of the family's 2925-position model. Lineage: Bacteria; Pseudomonadati; Pseudomonadota; Gammaproteobacteria; Enterobacterales; Enterobacteriaceae. The record is from RNAcentral.